AAUAUAAACAGUAUUUUUUUUUUUGUUUUUUUUUUUUUAUGUUGACUUUGAAUAUAAAUGCUUUGAUUUUUACUCACUGUUUCGAACAGGAAGAUAAAUUGUGAUGCACCGCCUCGAACAACUCUCAACAUCUCUGUUUUUCACCACAAAAUGUAAACAUUAGUAGAGGUAAAUGUUUCUAAAACAACAUUAAAGGGAUAGCUCAACUUUCUUAGUUAGCCAUUAGCUCCUGCUUCUGGUACCGACACAUCUGGAGAUGUAGGGUACUAACUGCUUAUAACCUCUUACCAGGACCCCACUUAAAAAAUAAAUCUCUAAUUCUAACAUUUCAGGGCAUUUAAGGUUUUAUUAAUUGAACGUAUAAAUUUCAGGUGGGAUGCAAAAAGGGAUCCACUUUUUUAUGAGAUCAGAAAUGUUCUUGCUCAUUUUAAGUCAUUGUGUUUUCUUUGUCCUCACUGGAAACACUGUCAGAGUCUGUCUGUAAAAUCUGUUAAUGAUGUGAUGUAAAAAUUCUAAAACAAAGUCAUUAAUCUGAAUUUAAACCUAUAUCUCUGCUGCUACCUUUCCAGCUAUGACUUCCAAGCACUCGGCUAGAUGGGGACAUUUUAGUUGCCUCUUUGCCUUGUGUCUCUGCUGCACUAAGCAGAUCUGAUGACAGAUCUUCCUGUGAUUAUUAUUGAACUAAUUAAAGCAUUUUUAGAAGUGAAAUCCACCAUAACCUUGAAUUACUUUAACUGUUGUGUCCCAUCACUGCCGCACUUUAUAUCUUUAAAAUUAUUCGGGAAAAUUGUAAUGCAUAUAAUCCAGCAACUGCUAAAAAAAAUGCAGGGAUAAAUGAUUUUGAAAUGUUUGUCAAUUGUAAAAAUAAAAGUAAAAUGAUCAAUACCAAGA
Cyprinodon tularosa is the source of this 891-nucleotide long non-coding RNA. RefSeq lists it as uncharacterized. NCBI's taxonomy places the organism in Eukaryota, Metazoa, Chordata, Actinopteri, Cyprinodontiformes, Cyprinodontidae. The record is from RefSeq and is a predicted model, not a curated record. The transcript has 2 exons.